This 406-nucleotide ribosomal RNA is filed under the name uncultured bacterium. Its description in RNAcentral is "partial 16S ribosomal RNA". It matches the Rfam family "Bacterial small subunit ribosomal RNA", at positions 30 to 526 of the family's 1533-position model. The record is from RNAcentral.
AUUGAACGCUGGCGGCAGGCCUAACACAUGCAAGUCGAACGAGUGGCGGACGGGUUAGUAAUGUCUGGGAAACUGCCCGAUGGAGGGGGAUAACUACUGGAAACGGUAGCUAAUACCGCAUACCAUCGGAUGUGCCCAGAUGGGAUUAGCUAGUAGGUGGGGUACAGGCUCACCUAGGCGACGAUCCCUAGCUGUUCUGAGAGGAUGACCAGCCACACUGGAACUGAGACACGGUCCAGACUCCUACGGGAGGCAGCAGUGGGGAAUAGUGCAAAAUGGGCGCAAGCCUGAUGCAGCCAUGCCGCGUGGAUGAAGAAGGCCUUCGGGUUGUAAAGUACUUUCAGCGGGGAGGCGUUACUCGCAGAAGAAGCACCGGCUAACGCCGUGCCAGCAGCCGCGGUAAUUC